GAUAGUUACGGUUACUGACUCAGGAACCUUGUAUAUUAUAUACCUCGGUUUACAGACGUUUAAUAAACUGGAUCCCUGUUGUGUUCACUUAUCGAUACACUACGAUGGAAUUACGGACCAGUUUAACAUAAACAUGGUAAAUAGAUAGACAGCUGAUAAUCAUAAUUGAUUAAGAAAUAACCUGGAAGAAGAAAUGAGUUAACUAUUGAUUAUAACAGAGACGAGAAUGCCAUCGUGUUUGUUCUGCUAAAAAAAGCAGGAACAUUGGAGUUUAUGGUUAGAUUUUAAAUAUUUAUUGUCUCCAAACUGGGUAAAUUUGAUAUAGUAACAACCCCCCCCCCUUUUUUUAAAUAACUCGAGAACCACACAUCGCGCUCGCUUAACAAAGUAACAAUAAGAAAUAAUUAUUGUUAGUUUCAAGAAUAAUUAAUCGUCAAAACUUAUCCCCUCCCCGACAUCAAAGGAAGUUAAAUGUAUUAUCCCAAAAUUAGACCAAAUUAUUAUGAUAUAAGGACGUCUUGACAGGCUAUUAUUUUAUUUUGUUUUGUUGGUUUUUUUUUUUGCUUUGACGUCUUCCUCCUGUAUGAAAAAAACAUAAUAGACCCCCCCCCUUUUUCCCCAUAAUAUAGCUUUUUAAGAAGUCAUAAUUAUUUGGACUACCCCUGAAUAUAUUUCAGACAGACUCUUCUCUAAAAAAAUGUAAACAUGAUUUGAGAGAGAAAUCUUUGGAAUAGUUUUUUAAAUGAUUUAAUUAUUAUGUCAUGUAUAUAAUUAACAUUAACAUAGUUAUAAACUGAGACUACUAGUAUAACACAUAGUGUUAUAGUAGUCUCAGCUAUAAACUUUCCAUUGUAUUGACCAAUAUGACUAACUCAUAUGCUCUUUCCCAUAAAUGUCACAAUAUCAAUAUAUUACAGUAAAACUGAUAGUUUGAUGACAUUGUUUAAGACUAUUGACCUCAGGUCAGCCUAAACUGAGUUUAAAACUGUAAUUUAUUCAUUAAAACAGUUCAAGACAUGUACCUUCUGAAAUGUGAUUGCAUCAAAAUUAAACCUAAGGCAUAACAUACUUAGUGUGCAGGAAGUGCCACCAAAUAAAUACUGAUUUGUAAAAUUAGAUGAUGAUAUUUGUGAAGUCAAAGAUAUUAUAGCUAGUUAUAACUGGUUUUAGAUAUAAAUCUGAGUAAAAGGUUGAUUUAUAUGUGCUCUUUCAUGUUUAGAUUAUAAUUUAAAUUUAAUCUUUUGAAGUUUUUUUUAUAAUAUUAAGACAUUAAAAUCACAAUUAUUUAUUUAUACACAAAAAAAUAAUUUUUGUCCUUUUUUAGUUGAAUGACUGUACACAAACAUUAUACACACAUAAUUUUGAUAAUUCUGUAAUGUUUUUUUUCUAUAGCCCCAGAAUGUGACAAAAGAC
Molecule: long non-coding RNA, 1413 nt
Filed under: Mytilus galloprovincialis (Mediterranean mussel)
Lineage: Eukaryota; Metazoa; Mollusca; Bivalvia; Mytilida; Mytilidae
Source: RNAcentral